This 462-nucleotide ribosomal RNA is filed under the name uncultured bacterium. Its description in RNAcentral is "bacterial SSU rRNA". It matches the Rfam family "Bacterial small subunit ribosomal RNA", at positions 28 to 493 of the family's 1533-position model. The record is from RNAcentral.
GACGAACGCUGGCGGCGUGCUUAAAACAUGCAAGUCGAACGAGGCCUAUGGCCUAGUGGCGAACGGCGGAGUAAUACAUAAGCAACCUGCCCCGAAGACCGGGAUAGCCCCUCGAAAGAGGGAUUAAUACCGGAUGUGUCCCUCAGGAGGCAUCUCUUGAGGAGUAAAACGCGUAAGCGGCUUUGGGUGGGGCUUGUGGUCUAUCACCUUGUUGGUGGGGUAACGGCCUACCAAGGGGUUCGACGGANAGCUGGUCUGAGAGGACGAUCAGCCCGACUGGGACUGAGACACGGCCCAGACUCCUACGGGAGGCAGCAGUCGAGAGGCUUUGGCAAUGGGGGAAACCCUGACCAAGCGACGCCGCGUGGAGGAUGAAGGCCCUUGGGUUGUAAACCGCUGUCAGGUGGGGAGGAAUUCCCGUGGGGUACUCCCCAGGGAUUGACCUAUCUUCAGAGGAAGUAC